CCUACGGGAGGCAGCAGUGGGGAAUAUUGGGCAAUGGAGGAAACUCUGACCCAGCGACGCCGCGUGCGGGAUGAAGGCCUUCGGGUUGUAAACCGCUUUCAGCAGGGAAGAAGCGAAAGUGACGGUACCUGCAGAAGAAGCACCGGCUAACUAUGUGCCAGCAGCCGCGGUAAUACAUAGGGUGCAAGCGUUGUCCGGAAUUAUUGGGCGUAAAGAGCUCGUAGGUGGUUCGUCACGUCGGAUGUGAAAAUCUGGGGCUUAACCCCAGACCUGCAUUCGAUACGGGCGAGCCUGAGUAUGGUAGGGGAGUCUGGAAUUCCUGGUGUAGCGGUGGAAUGCGCAGAUAUCAGGAGGAACACCAAUGGCGAAGGCAGGACUCUGGGCCAUUACUGACACUGAGGAGCGAAAGCGUGGGGAGCGAACAGGAUUAGAUACCCUGGUAGUCCACGCCGUAAACGGUGGGCACUAGUUGUGGGGACCUUCCACGGUCUCUGCGACGCNGCUACGACAUAGUGCCCGCCGUCGGGAGGUACGAGUCGCGAAGAAGUUAAACGUAACGUAAAGUUAAAGUUAGUACGGCGUUGAGACGNGCCGACGGACGACGACGAGGGAGGAGG
This 617-nucleotide ribosomal RNA is filed under the name uncultured bacterium. RNAcentral describes it as "bacterial SSU rRNA". The stretch from base 1 to 521 matches the Rfam family "Bacterial small subunit ribosomal RNA", at positions 338 to 873 of the family's 1533-position model. The record is from RNAcentral.